Long non-coding RNA from Capsella rubella, 362 nucleotides. RefSeq lists it as uncharacterized. The record is from RefSeq and is a predicted model, not a curated record. The transcript is spliced from 2 exons. NCBI's taxonomy places the organism in Eukaryota, Viridiplantae, Streptophyta, Magnoliopsida, Brassicales, Brassicaceae.
AAUCAAAAUGGUCUCUUCACACAAAUGCUUGUUUUUCACAUUUCUAUGUCUUGCUCUUCUUUUUAAUCAAGGUCUAGCGACAAGAGAUAUGUUUACUACAAAAGACAAGACUUUGUCUGUGAUGAAUGAAGAUGGUUUGGCCGAUCCAUGUGGAGAGAUACCAGACUGCAACCAAAAAUGUGUCGACCAAAAUUUCCCUAAAGGAGGAGUGUGCUUAGCACCUAAUGGUGAUGAAGAACCUGCAUCUAUUUGCCUUUGUAAACUUUAAAAUUUGAUUUAUUACAAUUUUAUUCAAUUUCAGAGUCAGUGAAAAAGACCAUUAAAUGACAAUAAUUAAGAUUAUCUAUCAUUCAAAAAAAUAA